CGGGAGUUCACUUUCCUCUGGUUUCUCCGCAGCCUUUUCCAGUCCCAGAUUCAGCACACACAGAGAAACGCACACUCUGCUUCUGCGCUGGAGCCUCGCAAGCCCUGAACCAGCCGGCAUGAGGAGGAAGUGAAGCUAUUCAAAUACGUCUCCCUUUCAACCAAAGAAUAACAUAUGCAAGAGAAACUUGUGAAAGUAACAAGUGA
This 206-nucleotide long non-coding RNA is filed under the name Dromaius novaehollandiae (emu). RNAcentral's name for it is "lncRNA (ENSDNVG00000011866.1)". The record is from RNAcentral. Lineage: Eukaryota; Metazoa; Chordata; Aves; Casuariiformes; Dromaiidae.